AUUGAACGCUGGCGGUAUGCUUUACACAUGCAAGUCGAACGGCAGCAUAGGUGCUUGCACCUGAUGGCGAGUGGCGAACGGGUGAGUAAUGCAUCGGAACGUGCCCAAUCGUGGGGGAUAACGCAGCGAAAGCUGUGCUAAUACCGCAUACGAUCUACGGAUGAAAGCGGGGGGACCUUCGGGCCUCGCGCGAAUGGAGCGGCCGAUGUUAGAUUAGGUAGUUGGUGAGGUAAAGGCUCACCAAGCCGACGAUCUAUAGCUGGUCUGAGAGGACGACCAGCCACACUGGAACUGAGACACGGUCCAGACUCCUACGGGAGGCAGCAGUGGGGAAUUUUGGACAAUGGGCGAAAGCCUGAUCCAGCAAUACCGCGUGCAGGAAAAAGGCCUGGUGGUAACUAGCUUUGUAC
Molecule: ribosomal RNA, 410 nt
Filed under: uncultured bacterium
Lineage: Bacteria
Description: bacterial SSU rRNA
Rfam family: Bacterial small subunit ribosomal RNA
Source: RNAcentral